UUUUUAAUAUAAGUAUGUUCCAUGAAAUAUUUGGUCCCUAUUUGUAGUAAAA
Molecule: microRNA precursor, 52 nt
Filed under: Marmota monax (woodchuck)
Lineage: Eukaryota; Metazoa; Chordata; Mammalia; Rodentia; Sciuridae
Source: RNAcentral